This 459-nucleotide ribosomal RNA is filed under the name uncultured bacterium. RNAcentral's name for it is "partial 16S ribosomal RNA". It matches the Rfam family "Bacterial small subunit ribosomal RNA", at positions 338 to 795 of the family's 1533-position model. The record is from RNAcentral.
CCUACGGGAGGCUGCAGUGAGGAAUAUUGGUCAAUGGGCGCGAGCCUGAACCAGCCAAGUCGCGUGAGGGAAGACGGUCCUAUGGAUUGUAAACCUCUUUUGUCGGGGAGCAAAAGACGCCACGCGUGGCGUUCCGAGAGUACCCGAAGAAAAAGCAUCGGCUAACUCCGUGCCAGCAGCCGCGGUAAUACGGAGGAUGUGAGCGUUAUCCGGAUUUAUGGGGUUUAAAGGGUGCGCAGGCGGAAGAUCAAGCCAGCGGUAAAAUUGAGGGGCGCAACCUCUUCGAGCAGUUGAAACUGGUUUUCUUGAGUGAGCGAGAAGUAGGCGGAAUGCGUGGUGUAGCGGUGAAAUGCAUAGAUAUCACGCAGAACUCCGAUUGCGAAGGCAGCAUACCGGCGCUCAACUGACGCUCAUGCACGAAAGUGUGGGUAGCGAACAGGAUUAGAUACCCCUGUAGUC